RNAcentral lists this ribosomal RNA (200 nucleotides) under uncultured organism. Its description in RNAcentral is "partial small subunit ribosomal RNA". It matches the Rfam family "Bacterial small subunit ribosomal RNA", at positions 1182 to 1382 of the family's 1533-position model. The record is from RNAcentral.
ACGUCAAGUCCUCAUGGCCCUUACGGGCUGGGCUACACACGUGCUACAAUGGUGGUGACAGUGGGAUGCGAGCGCGCGAGCGCAAGCCGAUCCCGAAAAGCCAUCUCAGUUCAGAUUGCACUCUGCAACUCGGGUGCAUGAAGGCGGAAUCGCUAGUAAUCGCGGAUCAGCAUGCCGCGGUGAAUACGUUCCCGGGCCUU